Long non-coding RNA from Peromyscus leucopus (white-footed mouse), 1161 nucleotides. RefSeq lists it as uncharacterized. The record is from RefSeq and is a predicted model, not a curated record. NCBI's taxonomy places the organism in Eukaryota, Metazoa, Chordata, Mammalia, Rodentia, Cricetidae. The transcript is spliced from 3 exons.
CCUGUAUUCAGCCUUCAAGAAGCUUCAGCAAGUUUGUCUCAUUUCGUAGGGAAAAGCUAAGCGUGAGAACUUGUAGGCUUCUCUGGGAGCAGAGGAGAGAGGUGGGGAAGAGGACAGAGCUGUCUACCAUCACCCACCAGAGCUGCUCCACAGCCCCAGCUCCAGCCCCACAGUUUCCAGGAAGACACCCCGACUGAGCAGGAAGGACUUUGGGAGAGAGUUUCUUCUGAGUCCAGUUAAGUUUGAAAUGGAGACUAGAGGCCCGUGAGCCAACUCUUGGCCUUCACAGUGACUGAUUCUAGACAACUCUGCUAAGGAGCACUGAAGUGGCGAUGAGACAGCCCAACCGGAAGCGGAAGCUCAUCAUGGAGUCCAAAGAGCACAUGACUCAGGAAGGGUGCUUGGGGCAAACUGAAGAAGAAAAGAAGCCCAGAGGUGGUGCCACAGUUUUAAGUCAAGGUAAUUAUCACUGUCUGGUACAGAGUCAAUUCACAGUGAACAACUUUCACAUGAAAAUUUGGUUAGAUUGCUCUUGUUGUUUUAUGCUUCUUAGCUUAAAUAUAGAGCACUAUUGUCUCCAGUUUACUCAGGGUCUUACGUACUCUGGUGCAGACUUUAUCAAUGUCAUCUCAUUUUAGGCAUAUUAAGGAAUGCAGCUCUGCGGCUUUUAUUUUUGUAUGCAUUUGCCUUUUAAACAAGCUGCAAAGGAGGCCAUUUCUGGUUUCUAUCUCCGUUAGUGAUAGAAGGUGGUGCCGAGUUCAUUUCUAUCUCCUUGCUUCUAUUUUUCUCCAGAUUGUGUAAAUCAUCUGAUAUUUGUGCUUGUUCACUCCUGCUGAAGCCAUGUUGAAGAGAUGGUACAUUUAAUCCAGACUGAGUAUCCCUCAUGGUUAUUCACUCAUUUGUAGACUUUAGAUAUGGGCUUUUUUAAAAUUAACUUUUUUCUUUUGCUAUUCCUCUGAUUUUCAGAUGCCUUAAAUUUAAAUCAACAAAUAGAGUUGCUGUUUUGUGACUGUUUCCAUAAGACAAUUGCUAUCAAAAUUUCUAUAAAAUGCAGUUGAAUAUCCAACAGGAUUUUUUUUUACCAUUCUCUGGGAAGAAAGGUACAUAAAUUUGAUAAUAUGCCUCUGGAAAGCUCUAAAAAUACCACCGAUAUUUAGUUGA